RNAcentral lists this long non-coding RNA (566 nucleotides) under Phaseolus vulgaris (common bean). Its description in RNAcentral is "long non-coding RNA (PVUL_LNC005156)". Lineage: Eukaryota; Viridiplantae; Streptophyta; Magnoliopsida; Fabales; Fabaceae. The record is from RNAcentral.
UACUUAGUAGCUUUGUGUCCUGUUUGUGAAAGGAGCAUAAUGAUUAUACAAGGAAUGAACAAUUAUGAAAUUUGUUUUUGUACCAUAGUGCAAUAUUGUUAAAUGUUUGGAAUGAUGGCAUAUUGGCAGUAUGUUACGGUGGAAAAUUGAUAUCUCCCAUACAAAGGCUAUGGCAUGGCAUUUUGUUAUGACAGGCCAUGAUGCCUGCAAUGUCCGUGGUGCCUAAUGUGCUUAUGACAGAAAUGAAAAAACUUCACACACAGAAAUGGUGGAGCUGACCCAACUAUUUUCAUGGUAUAACCCAUCACCAAAUGUUGUUUGAAACCCUAAAGCAGUAAAAUACUUGUUCAGCCAGCAACCCAUAUUCUGGCUACCUACCGUUAUUGGUUUAUUUCUUUGUUUUUGUCCCUUUUCUCUUCCAUUUUCUGACCAGCUUCUCCAAUGACCCUCCUCUUUUUGUUUCAAUCAAUUCUGUCUCCGUUUUUUUAAUUCUGUUACUCUGCUUUUUUCUUGGGCUCUAGGGCUCCAUCCCACUGCAUUCUGCCCCCUUGCAAUCUAGUUCUCUU